RNAcentral lists this microRNA precursor (105 nucleotides) under Cricetulus griseus (Chinese hamster). RNAcentral describes it as "miRNA (ENSCGRG00001001989.1)". Lineage: Eukaryota; Metazoa; Chordata; Mammalia; Rodentia; Cricetidae. The record is from RNAcentral.
GGUGUGGCCUUGUUGGAGGAAGUGUGUCACUGGGGAUGGUCUUUGAGGUUUCAAAUGCUCAAGUCAGGCCCAGUGUCACUGUCUCGUCCUACUGCCUGCAGAUGC